GCUGUGGCUCGGUCCCGAUCGGGUCCCGGUCUCGUUCGGUGCUCUCGAAAUAAAGUUGACCAAGAACUGGAACAAGAUGUCAUCUGUGCUCCAGAAUGUCAAAGCAACAGUGGUGUGGCGGAAACACCAGCUCCUAGCUGACCUUAGUGAGAAUGAGAGCCCUAUGCCUGACAAUUUCAAGAGAAGGGCCUUUCUGAGUUCUCUCAAUACCAUUCGCAUGUCUUUAAGAAAACGGGCACCAUUAAAGCGAGUAGAGCUGCAUUUUCAUAAAUCCCCAACUAGGGGAAGUCCAGAACGAAGACAGAGGUGCCAAACUCUUCAGACAAUUAAAAGAACAGCAAAAUAUGCUUUUGGAACAGUGUCCCAGAAAAUACAGAAGUCUUGCCAAAGCCCAGUAUGCUCAGUGGUGACCUUUCCAGCUGAAUCCAUCAGCAGAAGCUGUGCGACCAGUUCUACCACAAAAAGAAGUGCUACACCUCAAACACCUUUCUAUAAGAGCAUUACUCCAGCAACCAGUCCUAAAGGCACUCCAAGUUCUGGCAAAAGGGCCUUGCUUGGACCAACAAGGGCACCAGAACAUAGAGAAUGGAGGGAUUUCUCAUCCUGGCUUGGUAAAAAUGCUGUCUCUCUCCGGAGAUCCAGAAGAGCAGCAGCACUAAAGAGCCCUUAUUCAUCACCUGCUCCUUCCAGCAGAAAGAUAGAGUUUGAUUGCGAGUUGGAACUGGUCUCAUCAGGGAUUUGCCAGUUGAAGCAUAUCUCUCAAGCAUUUGAUGAUGCCAUUGUGAAAGAGGAGAGGAAACAAGCAAUAUCAAACUACUACUAUCUAAUGGCACAAAACUCACAGUCUGUACAUCAGUCCCUGAAACCAUCUCAAGCUAUCAGAAGGCAAGCAAAGAAGCUCCAUCAAGUGCUUGGUACCUAGACAAAGAUGGCUGUAACUAUUUUUUCAUGUUUCCAAAUUUGAGCACGUAUGAAGGAGAUGUCUGUAUAGCACCUGAAAGGCUGUGUUCUAUAUACACUUAAUGAGCUGUUAUACUUUUUUUUUUUUUAUGAAGCAGCUCAGGACUUCCCUUGCUUUCUCUUUUCAAGUAAAGAGUGAAUCAAAAUAGUACCAACCACAGUGCAUCAUCUUCUGCUGAGAUGAGGAAACCACCCUGAAAGUGACUUUCAUGAGACAGUAAGAACCUAGGAACUAAUGCUGAACUGGCCAGAAAGAAUGGCCAAAGCAAGGGCUUAUGAUAGAUUUAUGAAGGGUAAUUCUAGGUAAGAGUAGUGUUUAAACUGGUAUCCAGCAGUCAUGAGAUUUAGCACAAAUACUUUCCAUGUUAAAAAGAUUGGCCUAUUAUUUUGAAAGCCUAACUUGUUAUUUUGGGUUUUUUUGUUGCUGUUGGCAAACUAGAAGUUAUUCAUCAUGUUAGCUGGAAGUUAAUAAAACACUAGUGGCUUCUUUGAGUUCUAAGCAAAACUGUCAUUCCAAAGCAACAGGCUUCUGUGGAGUCACUCAUGCCUCAAGAAUGGAGCCAUAUUAGGACUCUUACUUCAUGGAUUUAAGGAUUAGCCUAACUAAUCCUAUUUUAGGUAGUUUGGUUCCAGACAAAUCAGAGCAACUUUGUUAUUUCUUAUUGCUGCUUUAGAUAGCAUCUUGGGAGUUGAAUUAAACAUUGCUUUUGUGAUGUAUCUGUCUUUUAGUUAUAUAUGAAAAUUUGUUACUACAAUUUGUUAUUACAAUUGCAAAUGUACAAGAAAUAAUACAAAACAAAUACAAGUUGUUACUACUCUUGAAACUACUGUUAUUAAUUAGUAUCAUGGUUAAAGUAUUUUGAUUAUGUAUACUUAACAUUUGAUACCUGUAUUUUGCUUCUAAUUACUCUAAAAAAAAUUAUAACAUUCAUUUGACAAGCCUUUUUUGGUAGGUCAUUCAGUAUAAUGAAGUUAAGUCUUUCAAACUAAAGCAAAGAUUCCUCAAGUAGAAUUCAACACCAGGGCUGUUUUCCAUGAGCACAGACUGACAGCCAAAAGCCACAGAGCGAGUGCUCCAGUCACACCUGGGGUCAUCCUGCUCCUGGGCUGUGACCCACUCCUGGAGCAGGCUGAACUGAGAGAGCCAGAUCAGCUCCUGCAAGAUGUGAUACAUGAAAGCAACUCUUCCAGCCUGAAGACUUCUAGAGUUCCAGAUGACAAAGAACUUACCUUAUGUUAUUUCUUGAUGUAAUGUUUGUGUGUGUUUUGUGGGCUGUUUUUUAGGAUUUUUUAACAACUUUUCUAUAUAUAGAAAAGUAUAGUAUCUCAAAGUCAUUCUUUGCAUGUCCUGAAACUAUUCCUAUAAAGCUUCCACAAAGAUGUUGUCUCAUUAGUGAAAUGACUUUUUCUGUGACUUUUGAAAAUUAAGGAGGGUUAGAAUUUUUCAGAAGUUGACCUCCAAUCUAAGUAUUACUUCAGACAGAUCAAACAGCCUUUACUUAUAAUGUUUCCACCAGUUACUUGGACAAUCAUGAUCCAAUAUUUAUCAAAUUACUGGUAACAAAAAUCAGUGACAGUGUUUGUUUAAAGGCAAGGAAGAUUUUAUUUAAGUGGCUAAGAUUUUAAAAACCAGCUCACAUCAAAAUCUAUAGCAGUUGUAGAAAUCUUACUCCUUAUUUCAUAGUAAGAAAUUCAUUAUUGUACAUUUUUGAAUCUUUACAAUGCAGCCAUAAGAAAUAUAAACAUUUGUCACCAGAUAGAACCUUCUCACUGACAAUAUUUAAAAGUAAGCACUUAAUAAAACUAUAGACUGAAAGAACACCUACAAUUUCAAGUUUCCUUGUGUGAAUUCAGUUGUAAAGGGACUG
This is an RNA transcript of Cyanistes caeruleus (blue tit), 2828 nucleotides long. It is a transcript of the gene named PICALM interacting mitotic regulator, with no coding region annotated. NCBI's taxonomy places the organism in Eukaryota, Metazoa, Chordata, Aves, Passeriformes, Paridae. The record is from RefSeq and is a predicted model, not a curated record.